GUGGAUUAGAUACCCUGGUAGUCCACGCUGUAAACGUUGUAUACUAGGUGUUAGUGACUUGUUCACUAGUGCCGACGUUAACACAUUAAGUAUACCGCCUGGGGAGUACGGCCGCAAGGCUUAAACUCAAAGAAAUUGACGGGGGCCCGCACAAGCGGUGGAGCAUGUGGUUUAAUUCGAUGAUACGCGAAGAACCUUACCUGGGCUUGAACUGUACCUGACAGGUGUAGAGAUACACUCUUCUUCGGACAGGUAUAGAGGUGCUGCACGGCUGUCGACAACU
RNAcentral lists this ribosomal RNA (283 nucleotides) under uncultured bacterium. RNAcentral describes it as "partial 16S ribosomal RNA". It matches the Rfam family "Bacterial small subunit ribosomal RNA", at positions 773 to 1060 of the family's 1533-position model. The record is from RNAcentral.